This 459-nucleotide ribosomal RNA is filed under the name uncultured bacterium. RNAcentral's name for it is "partial 16S ribosomal RNA". It matches the Rfam family "Bacterial small subunit ribosomal RNA", at positions 338 to 795 of the family's 1533-position model. The record is from RNAcentral.
CCUACGGGCGGCAGCAGUGAGGAAUAUUGGUCAAUGGUCGGGAGACUGAACCAGCCAAGCCGCGUGAGGGAGGAAGGUACAGAGUAUCGUAAACCUCUUUUGUCAGGGAACAAAGGCGGGGACGUGUCCCCGGAUGAGUGUACCUGAAGAAAAAGCAUCGGCUAACUCGGUGCCAGCAGCCGCGGUAAUACGGAGGAUGCGAGCGUUAUCCGGAUUUAUUGGGUUGAAAGGGUCCGCAGGCGGUGUGUUAAGACAGCGGGAAAAGCCCGGGGCGCCACCCCGGCCCGCCGUUGAAACUGGCAGUCUCGAGUUGGAGAGAAGUAUGCGGAAUGCGCGGUGUAGCGGUGAAAUGCAUAGAUAUCGCGCAGAACUCCGAUUGCGAAGGCAGCAUGCCGGCUCCACACUGACGCUGAGGCACGAAAGCGUGGGUAUCGAACAGGAUUAGAUACCCCAGUAGUC